AAUGGUAGAGGCGCGGGCUUUAAGAGUAUGCCGGGGAAAGUGGGCACGACCGGCAGAAAGGAAAGAUCGCCGAAGGAUCGAAGGUCCGCCCAGGGCUCCGGUUCUGGCCCGUCGCAGAAGAUGCGUCGGUCUGUCACGAAUGUGGAGCGCUAUCGU
RNAcentral lists this non-coding RNA (156 nucleotides) under chicken gut metagenome. RNAcentral's name for it is "Lysine riboswitch". It matches the Rfam family "Lysine riboswitch aptamer". From Rfam's summary of the family: Riboswitches are metabolite binding domains within certain messenger RNAs that serve as precision sensors for their corresponding targets. Allosteric rearrangement of mRNA structure is mediated by ligand binding, and this results in modulation of gene expression. The record is from RNAcentral.